This is a long non-coding RNA of Mus musculus (house mouse), 864 nucleotides long. RefSeq annotates it as predicted gene, 33849. Lineage: Eukaryota; Metazoa; Chordata; Mammalia; Rodentia; Muridae. The record is from RefSeq and is a predicted model, not a curated record. The transcript is spliced from 3 exons.
CAUUUGUUAUAUAGCAGCUUGAGCUGGCAGGUACCUGAUGCCAUAGUCACUCACUGCCUUCCUACAGGCCAGGGCAUGUGAAACAUCAGUGGAAGGAAGCAUCAGCUAGAACUGUCAAGAGAUCACCAAAGGGAGAGUUCAGAGCCACACAAGUGAAGCUGGCAUCCCCAGGAGAAACCGAGAUAAGGAGAAACCAGAAACCUCCUGCCUGGCAUCCUGGCUUCCAGCCAGGGCACAACCAAAGACAUUUUGGUUGAAAUAUUUCUGGCAUCCCUAGCCGUUGUCAAGGACAGAACUUCCAACAGCCUCGGGACAUUUCUGGCUUUUAGCCUCGUAAGACUGUUUACUCUCCGGGCUCUUUACCCUGAAACUGCCCAGCCAGUUUCUGUCACCUGCUUCCAUCAAUAAUCAUGUGUUUGGAGCUUCCUGUACAUUUUAGAAUGAUCGGCACCCGAGAGAUACUAAAGGAAUCGUGUCCCUGACUUGAAGCAACAUGAAAAAAAGAUUCUUGCACCGUUAACCAAAGUUUAAGUUAACUUGUAUUUGAAGCUGGUGGAACCGUGGGAUGCCGGUAACAUCCUCUUGACAUAAGGAUGACACGGAUCCUCACACCACAGCCAAGCUCUCAGCUUCAGUGAACAGAAGAGAGCGCCCGCCCGAGUUUCGGACUGUUGCUGCAGAAGGAGCCACUGCUGCAGGAAGCUUUUCAAAUCCCAGUUGUAUUCUUAGUUUCUCUCUCAAGGAAUAAAGUGAACGCGAGCCAUUCAAAGAUCCAGUUUCAGCCUGGUAAGCCAAAGGUCACUGUUUCAUUUAUUUCCCAAAACUCGAAAUAUGACAGUAUAAUGUACUUUCCCUCCAAACUGU